RNAcentral lists this ribosomal RNA (253 nucleotides) under uncultured bacterium. RNAcentral's name for it is "partial 16S ribosomal RNA". It matches the Rfam family "Bacterial small subunit ribosomal RNA", at positions 524 to 776 of the family's 1533-position model. The record is from RNAcentral.
UACGAAGGGGGCUAGCGUUGUUCGGAAUUACUGGGCGUAAAGCGCGCGCAGGCGGCUAUCCAAGUCAGUGGUGAAAGCCCGGAGCUCAACUCCGGAACUGCCAUUGAAACUGUUUAGCUUGAGGAUGAGAGAGGUGAGUGGAAUUCCCAGUGUAGAGGUGAAAUUCGUAGAUAUUGGGAAGAACAUCGGUGGCGAAGGCGGCUCACUGGCUCAUUACUGACGCUCAGGCGCGAUAGCGUGGGGAUCAAACAGG